Molecule: non-coding RNA, 75 nt
Filed under: Lachnospiraceae bacterium NK3A20
Lineage: Bacteria; Bacillati; Bacillota; Clostridia; Lachnospirales; Lachnospiraceae
Source: RNAcentral
UAACCGCCGCCACAAGACGGCGCUGAACGCACAGGAGUCAGCCGAAGCCAUAGUAGUGGCAUAGCCGCGAAGGAC